RNAcentral lists this ribosomal RNA (1737 nucleotides) under Pasteurella multocida. RNAcentral describes it as "bacterial LSU rRNA". It matches the Rfam family "Bacterial large subunit ribosomal RNA", at positions 1220 to 2925 of the family's 2925-position model. Lineage: Bacteria; Pseudomonadati; Pseudomonadota; Gammaproteobacteria; Pasteurellales; Pasteurellaceae. The record is from RNAcentral.
UCUGUUGGGUAGGGGAGCGUUGUGUAAGCGGAAGAAGGUGGCUCGAGAGGGUUGCUGGACGUAUCACAAGUGCGAAUGCUGACAUAAGUAACGAUAAAACGAGUGAAAAACUCGUUCGCCGGAAGACCAAGGGUUCCUGUCCAACGUUAAUCGGGGCAGGGUGAGUCGGCCCCUAAGGCGAGGCUGAAAAGCGUAGUCGAUGGGAAACGGGUUAAUAUUCCCGUACUUGGUAAAGCUGCGAUGUGGGGACGGAGAAGGUUAGGUAAGCGGACUGUUGGAAAUGUCCGUUUAAGUUGGUAGUUGGGAGCGGUAGGCAAAUCCGCUGCUCCAUUCAACAACGAGAGAUGAUGACGAGUUCCUAAGGGAAUGAAGUUACCGAUACCCGGCUUCCAGGAAAAGCCACUAAGCGAAAGGCUUUAUUAAACCGUACUGAAAACCGACACAGGUGGUCAGGUAGAGAAUACUCAGGCGCUUGAGAGAACUCGGGUGAAGGAACUAGGCAAAAUAGCACCGUAACUUCGGGAGAAGGUGCGCUUACAGUAAUUGUAGUCCCUCGCGGAUGAAGGUGAAGUAAGUCGAAGAUACCAGCUGGCUGCAACUGUUUAUUAAAAACACAGCACUCUGCAAACACGAAAGUGGACGUAUAGGGUGUGAUGCCUGCCCGGUGCUGGAAGGUUAAUUGAUGGUGUUAUCGAAAGAGAAGCUCCUGAUCGAAGCCCCAGUAAACGGCGGCCGUAACUAUAACGGUCCUAAGGUAGCGAAAUUCCUUGUCGGGUAAGUUCCGACCUGCACGAAUGGCAUAAUGAUGGCCAGGCUGUCUCCACCCGAGACUCAGUGAAAUUGAAAUCGCCGUGAAGAUGCGGUGUACCCGCGGCUAGACGGAAAGACCCCGUGAACCUUUACUAUAGCUUGACACUGAACAUUGAAUUUUGAUGUGUAGGAUAGGUGGGAGCCUUUGAAGCAGUGACGCCAGUCAUUGUGGAGGCGACCUUGAAAUACCACCCUUUAACGUUUGAUGUUCUAACGAAGUGCCUGAAACGGGUACUCGGACAGUGUCUGGUGGGUAGUUUGACUGGGGCGGUCUCCUCCCAAAGCGUAACGGAGGAGCACGAAGGUUUGCUAAUGACGGUCGGACAUCGUCAGGUUAGUGCAAUGGUAUAAGCAAGCUUAACUGCGAGACGGACAAGUCGAGCAGGUGCGAAAGCAGGUCAUAGUGAUCCGGUGGUUCUGAAUGGAAGGGCCAUCGCUCAACGGAUAAAAGGUACUCCGGGGAUAACAGGCUGAUACCGCCCAAGAGUUCAUAUCGACGGCGGUGUUUGGCACCUCGAUGUCGGCUCAUCACAUCCUGGGGCUGAAGUAGGUCCCAAGGGUAUGGCUGUUCGCCAUUUAAAGUGGUACGCGAGCUGGGUUUAGAACGUCGUGAGACAGUUCGGUCCCUAUCUGCCGUGGGCGUUGGAUGAUUGAUUGGGGCUGCUCCUAGUACGAGAGGACCGGAGUGGACGCAUCACUGGUGUUCCAGUUGUCUCGCCAGAGGCAUUGCUGGGUAGCUAAAUGCGGAAGAGAUAAGUGCUGAAAGCAUCUAAGCACGAAACUUGCCAAGAGAUGAGUCAUCCCUGACUUUAAGUCAGUAAGGGUUGUUUAAGACUAAGACGUAGAUAGGUUGGGUGUGUAAGUGUAGUGAUACAUUGAGCUAACCAAUACUAAUUGCCCGAGAGGCUUAACCAUACAACACUCAAG